AGAACUUUCCAGAGAUGGAUUGGUGCCUUCGGGAACUCUGAGACAGGCGCUGCAUGGCUGUCGUCAGCUCGUGUUGUGAAAUGUUGGGUUAAGUCCCGCAACGAGCGCAACCCUUAUCCUUUGUUGCCAGCGGUUAGGCCGGGAACUCAAAGGAGACUGCCAGUGAUAAACUGGAGGAAGAUGGGGAUGACGUCAAGUCAUCAUGGCCCUUACGAGUAGGGCUACACACGUGCUACAAUGGCGCAUACAAAGAGAAGCGACCUCGCGAGAGCAAGCGGACCUCAUAAAGUGCGUCGUAGUCCGGAUUGGAGUCUGCAACUCGACUCCAUGAAGUCGGAAUCUCUAGUAAUCGUGGAUCAGAAUGCCACGGUGAAUACGUUCCCGGGCCUUGUACACACCGCCCGUCACACCAUGGGAGUGGGUUGCAAAAGAAGUAGGUAGCUUAACCUUCGGGAGGGCGCUUACCACUUUGUGAUUCAUGACUGGGGUGAAGUCGUAACAAGGUAAGCGUAGUGCU
Molecule: ribosomal RNA, 517 nt
Filed under: uncultured bacterium
Lineage: Bacteria
Description: bacterial SSU rRNA
Rfam family: Bacterial small subunit ribosomal RNA
Source: RNAcentral